AGAGUUUGAUCCUGGCUCAGAUUGAACGCUGGCGGCAGGCCUAACACAUGCAAGUCGAGCGGGGUUUUCGGACCUAGCGGCGGACGGGUGAGUAAUGCGUAGGAAGCUACCCGAUAGAGGGGGAUACCAGUUGGAAACGACUGUUAAUACCGCAUAAUGUCUACGGACCAAAGCGUGGGACCUUCGGGCCACAUGCUAUCGGAUGCGCCUACGUGGGAUUAGCUAGUUGGUGAGGUAAUGGCUCACCAAGGCGACGAUCUCUAGCUGGUUUGAGAGGAUGAUCAGCCACACUGGAACUGGGACACGGUCCAGACUCCUACGGGAGGCAGCAGUGGGGAAUAUUGGACAAUGGGCGCAAGCCUGAUCCAGCCAUGCCGCGUGUGUGAAGAAGGCCUUCGGGUUGUAAAGCACUUUCAGCGAGGAGGAAGAGUUGUGUGUUAAUAGUACACAGCUUUGACGUUACUCGCAGAAGAAGCACCGGCUAACUCUGUGCCAGCAGCCGCGGUAAUACAGAGGGUGCAAGCGUUAAUCGGAAUUACUGGGCGUAAAGCGCACGUAGGCGGUUUUUUAAGUCAGAUGUGAAAGCCCCGGGCUCAACCUGGGAAUUGCAUUUGAAACUGGAAAACUAGAGUGUGUGAGAGGGGGGUAGAAUUCCAAGUGUAGCGGUGAAAUGCGUAGAGAUCUGAAGGAACACCAGUGGCGAAGGCGACUUACUGGCUUAAAACUGACGCUGAGGUACGAAAGCGUGGGUAGCAAACAGGAUUAGAUACCCUGGUAGUCC
This 781-nucleotide ribosomal RNA is filed under the name uncultured bacterium. Its description in RNAcentral is "bacterial SSU rRNA". It matches the Rfam family "Bacterial small subunit ribosomal RNA", at positions 8 to 796 of the family's 1533-position model. The record is from RNAcentral.